UACCCUGGUUGAUAGUGGCCGAGUUGUUCUCUCAGGGUCGAGAUCAUCCGCCAUCAGCGUGUCUGUCCUCGUCAACUGGGUCGCCAACUUCUGUGUUGGUUAUGGCUUUCCCCACAUGCAGAAAGGUUUGAUGAGCUACUCCUUCCUGCCCUUCACGGUGCUGCUGGUGUUGUUCUGGAUAUUCGUGUUCAUGUUCCUGCCAGAAACAAAAGGCAGAACAAUUGAAGAAAUUUCAUCGAUUUGGCGAAAGGAGGGUGACAAAGAAGAUCAGAAGCCCAGAUCACAAAGCUAUUUGGUUUCCUAUCAGAAGAAUCCCGACAGCUUAUAAAGAAAUGAAAAGCAGAUGAAGGGAAGAAAACUUCCUGAUAGGAGAGCCAUUUGGUUUCAUACACAAAUAAUACUGAUGUCACAUGAUCAAAAAUACGAAGUUUUAAGGAAACGAAAA
Molecule: long non-coding RNA, 445 nt
Filed under: Haliotis rubra (blacklip abalone)
Lineage: Eukaryota; Metazoa; Mollusca; Gastropoda; Lepetellida; Haliotidae
Description: uncharacterized LOC124258183
Source: RNAcentral